UACGGAGGGUGCAAGCGUUAUCCGGAAUUACUGGGCGUAAAGCGUGCGCAGGCGGUUUCGUAAGUCUGUCGUGAAAGCCCCGGGCUCAACCUGGGAAUUGCGAUGGAGACUGCGAGGCUAGAGUGUGUCAGAGGGGGGUAGAAUUCCACGUGUAGCAGUGAAAUGCGUAGAUAUGUGGAGGAGCACCGAUGGCGAAGGCAGCCCCCUGGGAUAACACUGACGCUCAUGCACGAAAGCGUGGGGAGCAAACAGG
RNAcentral lists this ribosomal RNA (253 nucleotides) under uncultured bacterium. RNAcentral's name for it is "partial 16S ribosomal RNA". It matches the Rfam family "Bacterial small subunit ribosomal RNA", at positions 524 to 776 of the family's 1533-position model. The record is from RNAcentral.